RNAcentral lists this ribosomal RNA (254 nucleotides) under uncultured bacterium. Its description in RNAcentral is "partial 16S ribosomal RNA". It matches the Rfam family "Bacterial small subunit ribosomal RNA", at positions 524 to 776 of the family's 1533-position model. The record is from RNAcentral.
UACGGGGGGAGCAAGCGUUGUUCGGAUUUACUGGGCGUAAAGGGCGCGUAGGCGGUCAGCACAAGUCAGUUGUGAAAUCUCCGAGCUUAACUCGGAAAGGUCAACUGAUACUGUGCGACUAGAGUGCAGAAGGGGCGACUGGAAUUCUCGGUGUAGCGGUGAAAUGCGUAGAUAUCGAGAGGAACACCUGCGGCGAAGGCGGGUUGCUGGGCUGACACUGACGCUGAGGCGCGAAAGCUAGGGGAGCGAACAGG